UACGUAGGUGGCAAGCGUUAUCCGGAAUUAUUGGGCGUAAAGCGCGCGUAGGCGGUUUUUUAAGUCUGAUGUGAAAGCCCCCGGCUCAACAGGGGAAUGUCAUUGGAAACUGGGGAACUUGAGUGCAGUAGAGGAAAGUGGAAUUCCAUGUGUAGCGGUGAAAUGCGUAGAGAUAUGGAGGAACACCAGUGGCGAAGGCGACUUUCUGGUCUGUAACUGACGCUGAGGUGCGAAAGCGUGGGGAUCAAACAGG
RNAcentral lists this ribosomal RNA (253 nucleotides) under uncultured bacterium. RNAcentral's name for it is "partial 16S ribosomal RNA". It matches the Rfam family "Bacterial small subunit ribosomal RNA", at positions 524 to 776 of the family's 1533-position model. The record is from RNAcentral.